Molecule: long non-coding RNA, 2682 nt
Organism: Mauremys reevesii (Reeves's turtle)
Lineage: Eukaryota; Metazoa; Chordata; Testudines; Geoemydidae
Exons: 5
Source: RefSeq, a predicted model, not a curated record
GUUGAAGCAAGUCUGAGAGCAAUGAAGAUUACCCUGUGCCAGCCUGGGGGCUGGGCUAUAUAAACAGGAAGAGGAAGCUGAAUAGCUGUGCUGGAGCAAUGGGGCUGUGGUUUUACUCUCAGGCUCCAGGAGACUAGACUCACUGGGCUCAGAGACUUUGCUCACUGUAAGUUUAGGUGUCCUGAACGAAGGCCCUGAGAUUACUGAUGAAAAUGUAGAAUGGAGUCCAGCCUAGUGCCGAUCCCUGCAGAAUCCUAUGAGAAACAACCCUAUUCGAUGUUAAAUAUGAUAUGCAUUUGAUGAUGCACCCCAAUAACGUCAUUGAUUAUUACAGCUGAUAUCUACUGCAAUGGAAGCUGUGUUUCUGGGCUAAUAUUUCAAAACUCAUAAAUCACGAUUUCAGGGCAUGUCUUCACUGCAGACUUAACUUGAGAAAACCUAUGAUUAAGCCUAUUAACACGCACUGUUUUCAAACAUCCAUAUGCCUCUACCGGUGCUAUACAAUGAAGUAACCACCACCCUUUGAGCUAUAGGGCUAGCCCUGAGGUGUAGUACUCAAGAUGGACAUUGUGCAUAUGGCUGCUUCCUCAGUCAUAGCCAGAUCUCAUUUAUUAUCCAGGGAAAAUUUAGAGACCAAGGUUUUACUGAGUGUUGGACAGUCCCAUAAUUAGUACAACCGGGUUUCCUUGAAGAAAAGAUUGGAUGCUAGAAUCAGACCUGAAAACUGAUUUGAAUGCAUUAGAAGGACGUCUGGCAUGAAAAGAAAACGCUGACUCCAUUAAAAGCAGCAGCUGUUAGUCCCAGUUAUUAAGGAGCGCAGGAUCCAUAUUUCUGGCACACACCUACACACCACCACUGCACCAGCAUGGAUCCUGCCAGAAGAUGAAUUUUGCAGGCCUAGACCUGUUCUCACAAUCUCCAGGGUGGGCAGACAAAUUGUCUCAUAACACCCUGCAAAUCCAAGCAGAGUGGCACAGUUAGUUAUGAAUUUUGGAAUAUAUGCCCAGCUAGCUGUAUUGGUUGUCACAGCCAGGUUAAGCACCAAUGUGGACAUGGAGUAUGACAGCACAGUAAUGUGAUCACACUAUAGGCUAGGCUAGGUUAGGUUAGACCUAAUUAUAGGUUAGGCUACCACAGGUUCAUUUACUGAUUUGCAUACAGUGAAGACAUAGCUUAGAUCUAGUGUCUACUUGUCUUAAAAGAAAUCCACCUUUAGAGGCACAGAAACCAAACUGUCUAAUGAUGUAUAUAGAUAAAACUGGAUUAUUGUCACUUCAGUGUCCACCAUCAGGAGUGUCCACCAUCCUCUCUGGUUGUCCUUUUGAUGAUAUAUUAUCUGUCAUACUCUUUGGCAAAGCAGUCUUUGGGUGGUAUUUCAUUGGGGCUUUUUCUUAAGACAUAAACUUAUAAUCUGUAUUUUAAAGUACCUCUAGGGUGAAAUCCUGACCCCAUAGAAGCUGAUGGCAAAACUUCCAUUGACUUCAAUGGGCCCAGGAUUUCAUUCCUAGUCUUUAGUCCUUAAAAUAUCCAUUGGAACAAAAAAUAUAGCUAGAAAAAAUAAACAAAUUAUUUCCCUUUAUUUAAUAUACAUGUUUCCAAUUUGGCUUUGAAACAAAUAUUUUAAUCAGCUUCUUUUUAUUAUUAUUAUUAUCAACUGUGGGUCAAACCUGGUGGCUUGGGAAUAGAUCUUAGCCUCUUCACUCUCAGCCCUGAACUUUUUUUUUUUUUUUUUUGUCAAAUCCUCCUUUUUCUGUCUGUAGGCAAAAAGAUUUAGAUGGAAAAUUCCUGAACAGCUCUAUUUACCCCACGGAGUUUGUUGAUUUCAUUGGGUCCAUCCAUGAGUCAAGAUAUUAGUCACAGGGAGUACUUGGGAGCACAAUCUUAGAGAGCUGAAUGAAUGAGACAAACUGAAGAAGUCUUAUUCAGUAUAUAACACCGUGAUCGCAAAUGGGAACAAAAUGUGUCAUAAUUUUGUUUCUCCUCCUUUCCCAAAUUAUAUUUAUAUAAAUAUAUGUAAUUAGAGACAUCCCAGGUGAGUAAGAGAGGCUGUGGCUGGGUCAUUGCUAGCUUGUCAUUAUCCCUCAACUAUGCAAUACUCAGAAGGGCCACUGAAACCAGGAGCUAAGUUAGGGAUACUAAUUGUUGUUAUUAAUAUAUAGGUUGCCAAAAUCUCAUGACAAUUCUGCAGGGCUGUUUCUAUACUUCCCCUCCCCCCCCCCAUAAUCCUUUUCUGGGGUGUAUUUUAAAUAUUUUAAGAGACUUUCUCCUUGCUCUGAUGUUUCAUCUUUUAGCUUCAGAAAGGAUGUUUUUCAAGGCUUAAUCUGGCAUGGGUUAAUGUAUUUCAUGGUGCAGUAUAUGACAGCAAACCCUUCCAAGUUUUUUUAAUCUGCUUCUAAUUUUACAAUUUACAGUACUAGAUAUAUUAGAACAUUCAGUUUUUCUUCAAACUGAUGCUUCAUGUUCUGUUCUUCAACAUUAAGUUUUAAAUGUAAUGCUGUUUUAUGUUUUAUGUGUUCCCCUGAACUUUACAUAUCAUUACUUUUUCUUUGGACUAGUUAUAUUUGAAAAUAGCUUGAAAUUGAAAAAAGUACCAUUUGAGCAAUGAAGUAAAUGAUAUGACUGAACUAUUAAAAAUAUACUCUCCUUUCUAAUAUAUAAAGUGCUGGUGUUUCAGUUAAUUAA